This 293-nucleotide ribosomal RNA is filed under the name uncultured microorganism. RNAcentral's name for it is "partial 16S ribosomal RNA". It matches the Rfam family "Bacterial small subunit ribosomal RNA", at positions 505 to 796 of the family's 1533-position model. The record is from RNAcentral.
GUGCCAGCAGCCGCGGUAAUACGGAGGGUGCAAGCGUUAAUCGGAAUUACUGGGCGUAAAGCGCACGCAGGCGGUUUGUUAAGUCAGAUGUGAAAUCCCCGGGCUCAACCUGGGAACUGCAUCUGAUACUGGCAAGCUUGAGUCUCGUAGAGGGGGGUAGAAUUCCAGGUGUAGCGGUGAAAUGCGUAGAGAUCUGGAGGAAUACCGGUGGCGAAGGCGGCCCCCCUGGACGAAGACUGACGCUCAAGUGCGAAAGCGCGGGGAGCAAACAGGAUUAGAUACCCUGGUAGUCC